Molecule: transfer RNA, 71 nt
Filed under: Hofstenia miamia
Lineage: Eukaryota; Metazoa; Xenacoelomorpha; Acoela; Hofsteniidae
Description: tRNA-Gly for anticodon CCC
Rfam family: tRNA
About the family: Transfer RNA (tRNA) molecules are approximately 80 nucleotides in length. Their secondary structure includes four short double-helical elements and three loops (D, anti-codon, and T loops).
Source: RNAcentral
GCAUUAGUGGUCUAGUGGUAUGAUGUCACCCUCCCAAGGUGGCGACCCGGGUUCGAUUCCCGGCUAAUGCA